UAGCUCAGGACGAACGCUGGCGGCGUGCCUAACACAUGCAAGUCGAGCGAGGAGAUCCUCGGGAUGAUCCUAGCGGCGGACGGGUGAGUAACACGUGGGCAACCUGCCUCAUAGAGAGGAAUAGCCUUCCGAAAGGGAGAUUAAUACCUCAUAACAUUGCAGUUUCGCAUGGAGCAGCAAUUAAAGGAGCAAUCCGCUAUGAGAUGGGCCCGCGGCGCAUUAGCUAGUUGGUGAGGUAACGGCUCACCAAGGCGACGAUGCGUAGCCGACCUGAGAGGGUGAUCGGCCACAUUGGGACUGAGACACGGCCCAGACUCCUACGGGAGGCAGCAGUGGGGAAUAUUGCACAAUGGGGGAAACCCUGAUGCCAGCAACGCCGCGUGAGUGAUGACGGCCUUCGGGUUGUAAAGCUCUGUCUUCAGGGACGAUAAUGACGGUACCUGAGGAGGAAGCCACGGCUAACUACGUGCCAGCCGCCGC
This 480-nucleotide ribosomal RNA is filed under the name uncultured bacterium. Its description in RNAcentral is "bacterial SSU rRNA". It matches the Rfam family "Bacterial small subunit ribosomal RNA", at positions 20 to 518 of the family's 1533-position model. The record is from RNAcentral.